AACUUUUGACAAUGGAUCACUUGGUUCUGGCAUCGAUGAAGAACGCAGCGAAAUGUGAUACGUAAUGUGAAUUGCAGACUCAGUGAAUCAUCGAAUCUUUGAACGCAUCUUGCGCUCCCUGGAAUCCCGGAGAGCAUGUCUGUCUGAGUGUUACGAAUCCUCGUCCACCCUGCGAGAUGUUCUUCUUGUUCAUCUCCGCGGUCGUGUCGGACGGAUCGUGGUCGCUGCCGGUAAAAAACCCCCCUUCCGGCUCGACUGAAAUUUAAGAGGUAUUACGCACCGUUGCGGCCUGAUCCAAUUGUAAGCUUUAUUUUGCCAUUGGAGACACCCGACACCGCGAACACCCACCACAAACCUUAGAUUCAUUUUAAGCUUUCGACCUCAGAUCAGGCAGGACUACCCGCUGAACUUAAGCAUAUCAAUAAGCGGAGGCU
Molecule: unclassified non-coding RNA, 434 nt
Filed under: uncultured Basidiomycota
Lineage: Eukaryota; Fungi; Basidiomycota
Description: sequence contains ITS2
Rfam family: 5.8S ribosomal RNA (bases 1-153)
Source: RNAcentral